This 590-nucleotide ribosomal RNA is filed under the name Limosilactobacillus fermentum. RNAcentral describes it as "bacterial SSU rRNA". It matches the Rfam family "Bacterial small subunit ribosomal RNA", at positions 42 to 616 of the family's 1533-position model. The record is from RNAcentral. Lineage: Bacteria; Bacillati; Bacillota; Bacilli; Lactobacillales; Lactobacillaceae.
UUGUGCCCAAUUGAUUGAUGGUGCUUGCACCUGAUUGAUUUUGGUCGCCAACGAGUGGCGGACGGGUGAGUAACACGUAGGUAACCUGCCCCGAAGCGGGGGACAACAUUUGGAAACAGAUGCUAAUACCGCAUAACAACGUUGUUCGCAUGAACAACGCUUAAAAGAUGGCUUCUCGCUAUCACUUCUGGAUGGACCUGCGGUGCAUUAGCUUGUUGGUGGGGUAACGGCCUACCAAGGCGAUGAUGCAUAGCCGAGUUGAGAGACUGAUCGGCCACAAUGGGACUGAGACACGGCCCAUACUCCUACGGGAGGCAGCAGUAGGGAAUCUUCCACAAUGGGCGCAAGCCUGAUGGAGCAACACCGCGUGAGUGAAGAAGGGUUUCGGCUCGUAAAGCUCUGUUGUUAAAGAAGAACACGUAUGAGAGUAACUGUUCAUACGUUGACGGUAUUUAACCAGAAAGUCACGGCUAACUACGUGCCAGCAGCCGCGGUAAUACGUAGGUGGCAAGCGUUAUCCGGAUUUAUUGGGCGUAAAGAGAGUGCAGGCGGUUUUCUAAGUCUGAUGUGAAAGCCUUCGGCUUAACCGG